RNAcentral lists this long non-coding RNA (855 nucleotides) under Homo sapiens (human). Its description in RNAcentral is "HSALNT0362450". Lineage: Eukaryota; Metazoa; Chordata; Mammalia; Primates; Hominidae. The record is from RNAcentral.
GUUAAGUUUUACUUUUGCCUUCUUAAAAAGGGCAGAACUUUUUUUCAAAAAAUAGUUAAAUUAGUAGCUACAAUUUUGGAGCACCUCUUGUGUAUUAGAAACAAUAUACUACAUACCUUAUAGAGUCGUAUCUUUAUUCUCAUUUUAUGAAGGUGCAAUGUAAAGGUUCAAUAACUCAACAUUUUGAAUCCAAGGUUUGAACCUUAUUCUUAUUGCUCCAUUCUUCUGGUGUUUCCCCACUCUACAAGCUUCCUUUUAAUAGUUGUACUCUGAAGCAGCCCCUGGCGAGUACUAAUUCCAGGAGAACACUUUGUUCCCCUUCCACCUCCCUUCAUGUUCCCCUUCGCGGGACACCACAAGAGACCUUGAAGGUUGGGACAUUGUGGGGGUUCCUCUUUUAAAAUGAGAAGCUUGCUGCGAAAUCUAGCAUAGCAGCUGAAAGAUACUAGUAAAUGUUUUCCAAACAAAAAUCCCUCAGUGAAUCAAAGAAAAAAAGGUAUAAUUUUCUGUUGGUAAAUGCAACAUGCACAAGUUAUUUGAAACAGCUGGUUCGAGUGGAAAUGAAUGACUUCCCCAGGGUCAAAAUCUGACAGAAGUUGGAAACCUGCAGUUGUUUGGAAGAAAUAAGCCAUGUAUAGACCAGGAAAUCAACUGAUGACUAGGAAAGGAUGGGAAAGAUGAUAAGGUCUCAGUUCUCAUGUGGAGGAGUGGGAGAUUGGAGAACUCCACAUCCAUUUGAAGUAAAAGAGCUGCAGAUUACCUUGAGAACUGGUGGUUAUUCCAUUGUCUUGCCUAAUUUCUGGAAAAGGGACUUAUUUACAGCCAAGCAUCAGUAAAGGGAAAUUUAUGGUAAAG